AUGAAGCCAGGAGCUAAAUACUUUAAAAGACCGGUCGGAUUGAGCCGAACUACCCCAAAGUGUGCGGUCACCAGGGCAACGUGCUCGACAUCAAGUGGAAUCCCUUCAUCGAAAACAUCAUCGCUUCGUGCUGGUCGCUCCGGCGUCUCCCGUCCGCGGGUUUCUCCCUUCCCUCGCGCCUUGCUCCUCCGGGCUCGCGGGUCGCCGUAUGGACCCGUCCGGAGGCUGCGGGGCUGCCCUGCAGCCUGGGCAGUAAUGGACCAGGGCAGCCGUAUUCAGCUGAUGUUUGCCUCCUCCUCCUCUUCGUCCGUGGGACACGAGCAAAGGCUGUAUCGUAAAGAAAGCAAGGAAAAAAAAGAAAAAGCCUUUACGCAAGGGAGGAGAUAGAAACCGUAGCCCGCUCUGCUCAGCAGAAGCAAGGGCUUGUGGCGACCCGGUUUUUAAGCAGUUACGGAUCUGCCUCACUCGCUCUCGCCGUUUCACUGCAUGGUAUCACCUAAUGUCUCAUCCUCUUCAGCAUAGUGGCAUGUUUUAUUAGCUGAAAGCUUGUCAAGGAAGCUUCUGAAGGGAAAAAAUUCAGACUGUGGCCAUGAAUCAUGGUGAGCUGUCCUCCGCUUUAAAUUGCAACCCGCUCCGUGAGGCUGUUGGAGGUGCUGGGAGAGAGGGAGGGAACGGGGACGGCUUCCCAAGCCACCACUGAUGAGCCUGGGAAGUUAACUGCCCCGCAGGCUGCCUGGUGCACCCAGGUCUCUUCUCCCUUUCAUCUCCAGAGUCGUGGAAGUGCUGGUGGGAAGAGACUCCUGGAGGUCUCUGCUCCAGCCUCCCCCUACAGCCGGAGCAUCACCAGCCCGAGAUGAGCAUGGUCUUGUCUAGCUGAGUCUUGAAACCUCCAGGGACGGAGGUCCCCCACCUCGCUGGGGACCUGUGCAGGGCUGCGCUGCUCUCUAGUGACGAAGGGUUUCCUAAGGUCCAGCCUGAGCCUCCAGGCUGCAGCCCGUGGCCGUUGCCCAUCACGCUAGCGUCAGGCAGUGCUGGGAGGAGUUUGGCUCCGUCUCCCUUGCAACCUCCUUCACAUGCUGCAUGCCGCGAUUAGAUCCCUCUUUUUUUAGCCUCCUCUUCGUCAGGCUAAACCAGCCCAGCUCUCUCGGCCCCUUCUUGGAGGUUGACUCCGUCGUGGUAGCCCUUGGCUUGAUCUCUUCCAGUUUCUCCCCGUCUCCCUUGGACUGGGGUCCCAAAGCUGGAGAUGCUAUUCCAGGUAGAAGGGGGAACGGCUUUGCCCAGGUCGCCGGCCGUGCUCCUCCUAACGGAGGUGGGUUGCCUCUGCAAUGAGCGCGUGCGGUUGGCUCGGAUUCACCGUAUCGUCUCCCAGCGCCAUGCGCUGGGUUUU
Molecule: long non-coding RNA, 1387 nt
Filed under: Struthio camelus australis
Lineage: Eukaryota; Metazoa; Chordata; Aves; Struthioniformes; Struthionidae
Description: lncRNA (ENSSCUG00000002949.1)
Source: RNAcentral